RNAcentral lists this ribosomal RNA (440 nucleotides) under uncultured bacterium. RNAcentral describes it as "partial 16S ribosomal RNA". It matches the Rfam family "Bacterial small subunit ribosomal RNA", at positions 338 to 795 of the family's 1533-position model. The record is from RNAcentral.
CCUACGGGAGGCAGCAGUGGGGAAUAUUGCACAAUGGGGGAAACCCUGAUGCAGCGACGCCGCGUGAGUGAAGAAGUAUUUCGGUAUGUAAAGCUCUAUCAGCAGGGAAGCAAAUGACGGUACCUGAUUAAGAAGCACCGGCUAACUACGUGCCAGCAGCCGCGGUUAUACGUAGGGGGCAAGCGUUAUCCGGAUUUACUGGGUGUAAAGGGAGCGUAGACGGCAGCACAAGUCUGGAGGGAAAUGCCGGGGCUUAACCCCGGAACUGCUUUGGAAACUGUGCAGCUAGAGUGCAGGAGAGGUAAGUGGAAUUCCUAGUGUAGCGGUGAAAUGCGUAGAUAUUAGGAGGAACACCAGUGGCGAAGGCGGCUUACUGGACUGUAACUGACGUUGAGGCUCGAAAGCGUGGGGAGCAAACAGGAUUAGAUACCCUUGUAGUC